UGCAAACUGCGAAUACCGGAGAAUGUUAUCACGGGAGACACACGGCGGGUGCUAACGUCCGUCGUGAAGAGGGAAACAACCCAGACCGCCAGCUAAGGUCCCAAAGUCAUGGUUAAGUGGGAAACGAUGUGGGAAGGCCCAGACAGCCAGGAUGUUGGCUUAGAAGCAGCCAUCAUUUAAAGAAAGCGUAAUAGCUCACUGGUCGAGUCGGCCUGCGCGGAAGAUGUAACGGGGCUAAACCAUGCACCGAAGCUGCGGCAGCGACGCUUAUGCGUUGUUGGGUAGGGGAGCGUUCUGUAAGCCUGUGAAGGUGUGCUGUGAGGUAUGCUGGAGGUAUCAGAAGUGCGAAUGCUGACAUAAGUAACGAUAAAGCGGGUGAAAAGCCCGCUCGCCGGAAGACCAAGGGUUCCUGUCCAACGUUAAUCGGGGCAGGGUGAGUCGACCCCUAAGGCGAGGCCGAAAGGCGUAGUCGAUGGGAAACAGGUUAAUAUUCCUGUACUUGGUGUUACUGCGAAG
RNAcentral lists this ribosomal RNA (516 nucleotides) under Shigella flexneri. Its description in RNAcentral is "partial 23S ribosomal RNA". It matches the Rfam family "Bacterial large subunit ribosomal RNA", at positions 948 to 1461 of the family's 2925-position model. Lineage: Bacteria; Pseudomonadati; Pseudomonadota; Gammaproteobacteria; Enterobacterales; Enterobacteriaceae. The record is from RNAcentral.